This 465-nucleotide ribosomal RNA is filed under the name uncultured bacterium. RNAcentral's name for it is "bacterial SSU rRNA". It matches the Rfam family "Bacterial small subunit ribosomal RNA", at positions 330 to 792 of the family's 1533-position model. The record is from RNAcentral.
UCCAGACUCCUACGGGAGGCAGCAGUGAGGAAUAUUGGUCAAUGGGCGGGAGCCUGAACCAGCCAAGUCGCGUGAGGGAAGACGGUCCUACGGAUUGUAAACCUCUUUUGCCGGGGAGCAACGGGGUCCUUGCGAGGGCCCGAUGAGAGUACCCGGAGAAAAAGCAUCGGCUAACUCCGUGCCAGCAGCCGCGGUAAUACGGAGGAUGCGAGCGUUAUCCGGAUUUAUUGGGUUUAAAGGGUGCGCAGGCGGAGGUGCAAGUCAGCGGUCAAAUUGCGGGGCUCAACCCCGUACUGCCGUUGAAACUGCAUCCCUUGAGUGCGCGAGAAGUAUGCGGAAUGCGUGGUGUAGCGGUGAAAUGCAUAGAUAUCACGCAGAACUCCGAUUGCGAAGGCAGCAUACCGGCGCGCAACUGACGCUCAUGCACGAAAGCGUGGGUAUCGAACAGGAUUAGAUACCCUAGUA